AUAAUCGGAAUAAUAAUAAAUCUGAGCAAUGUAAACGGCACGUUUCGAAAAUCAUUCUCCGAUGAUUCUGCGUCCAGAAAGAACUCACUCAACAAAUGCAUAUAAUCAGGAUGUGUUUCUUCCAGAUGGAUACCGUGUCGUAAUUCAGCUUGAUGCUAACGUUUCACAAAAAUUACAGCUUGCAUCAUCAGGGCUAGGAGCUCCGAUACUACAGUAUCAGUACUGAUUGUAUCAAUGGCCGUGAAAGUUUAAAAAUUAGAAUUGCGUAUAAGUUUUACUCUUACCAUAACGGAUCACCGCGCGUCAGUUCAUGAUUGGUGACUCGCGAUGGUUACUUCAUGUAUUUCCCUUGUGAAGAAAGCAUUCAAACUUUAUUUAUAGCUGAUUCGACGUGACCUUUUCUGUUUGUCUGAUAUAUUUCGCUUUCGGAUAUUGUCAAUAUCAUAAGUAAAAUGUUUUCAACAGUCGUUUGUCAGACAUACAGAAUACACAUCGAAACUUGUCUCUUUGAAACGUAUCAGUAAUUAGUCGAAUUACGAAGAAAGUUAGGCGGUGUGAUUAUGUAAACAGAUUAUUGCGUCGAGCAAGUUGUAAAAGAGUAAAAUCUCGAUUAGGAGAAAAACGAUAGAAAGAAACCGGAACCUUUGAAGAGCGAUCUGUGCGGCAAACACUCCAGCAGAAAGAACAGCAAAAACGUAUAAGGAAAGUGACACCAGUAACGAAAGCUUUCACCUGAAACAAGAGUUGAAGCACCAUCUCGAAGAAGUUCACGGAUAUAUCAUGCACAAAUGCGACUUUUGCAUCUAUGCAUCUAAUAGUGAAAGAGCACAUUAUACGAUUGCAUACGGACAAUUACGACCAUAUAUGUCCCGAGCAAAACUGUGACCGGGAGUAUAAUUGGCAGACGGAUCUGAAUAGACACAUACGAUAUGUUCAUUCUAACAAAUAAGUAAAAAAGUAGUAUUAUUGAUCCGGAACUGUCUUUGGAGAGUAAUCCGUACGGCAAAAUCCCAAUAGAAGGAGCAGCAUUAAAAAGUGCACAAAAGUUCCUAAUUAAUGCGACAUUUGCAACCAAAGAUUCCACAAAAAACAUGAGUUAAUACAUCACUAUAAAGAGGUCUACAAAUGUUGCAUAUACAAAUUUAACCAUUGCAACUACGAAACCAACGAGAAGAUAUUGAAAAGGCAUAUAAGAAAACACACGAAUAAUUACGACUACGUAUGUACUGAGCUCGGCUGUAACAAGAAAUAUAAAUUUCAGGAAGGUAUAUAUAUAGAGAAGUCUGAAGUGUAUAUAUAUAGAGUUAUCAUCAUAAGAAUAAGAAGAAAAACAAUAAUGUGGACUCGAGUCUUUUCUCGGAGAGUAAUCCAUGCAGCGAACUUUCCAACAAAAGGAGCAGCAUUGAAAAGUGCAUAAGUGUUUCUAAACAAUGUGAAAUCUAAUCAAAUUUUCUAUAGAAAGGAAGAGUUGAUACAUCAUAUAAUGCAGGUUCACUAACGUUGCGUACACAAAUGCAACCAUUGCCACUACGAAACCAACGUAAAAUGCAAUUUGCAAAAGCACUUUAUAAUAAGGCAUAUGGAUAUUAAGGAUUACAUUAAGACUGGCUGUAAUUGUGUGGAAAAAAGUCAGAAAAAGCUGAGGCAACACGUAUGACAUGUCCACUCUAACAAAUAAAAGGAAAGCAAUAUUAAGGAUCCAGAACCGUCCACGAUGAAUACCCGCGUAAUCAUUCUAGAACAAGAAGCAGCAUUAAAGAGCUAAUGAGUAUGCCUUUUCGAUACACAACGAAAUCUGCAACGAAAGAUUCCUUCCUAGACAAAAGUGGAAAAAUCUAAAUGUAAGCUCAUGGAUAUUCCAUGUGCAACUGCAGCCGUUGUAACUACGUAUUCAACAAAAAGAAUAAUUUGUGAAGUUACAUUGCACGGAAUUACAUAGACAAUUAUGACUAUGUGUAUACUGAGCCUGUCUAUAACAGGAAGUAUAAAUAGUAGGCGGAUCUGGAGAUACACAUACAACGUCCUAACAACCAAAAGAAAAGCAAAAGUGCAGACCAGGGCAGUCUUCGGAAGGUGACCUGUGCGGCAAACAUUCCAAAAGACGGAGCAACAUUGAAAAGCGCAUAAGUAUGCCUCAACUACGCAAAAUCUGCAACCAAGGUUUCGAUAGGAAAAAAAGAAUUGAAGCAUCACCUCUGAAAUGAUCACGGAUCAUCGUAUGUGCAACUGCAACAAUUAUAAUUACAUAUCUAACAGGAAACAGCACUUGAAGUAUCGCGUUGCGUGAAAACACAUGGAAUUACGACUACGUGUGUAAUAAGGAAAGUUGCUACAAAAAAUUCAAACUCGAACAGGAACUGAAGAAAUGGGUAAAAUAUGAUCUUUCCAAUGAUUCCUACCAAUGUUGAAAAUAUGCUCAAAUAUACGCUGAGACGAUAAUUGCUUAUCCUGUCUGCAAUAAGAUAUUUAGUAGGAAGAAUAAUAUGCUGAAUUCAUCCAUUAUACCACGCGGACCAGAAACUCUAUAUCUGCAAGAUUUAUGGCACGAUGUUUAUCCAUCGGCAAUUUUUAUAUAAUUAUGGAGAAAGAAUAUUCCCACUUAAUUCCUCUCGAAUAAAGUACGCGUGCAUGUGUGUACACAUGCAUGCUCGCACCCAAUUUGUUGUAUGGAAUAAGACCGGUACAUAGAGAAAAAUUUGAGAACAACUAUAUGACGUAUGUUGGAGAUGUGUAUUUCGCUUACAUAAUGAGCUGAACGUAACAUUAAAAUUUUAUUUUUACAUAAUAAGAUAGAAAAAU
RNAcentral lists this long non-coding RNA (2799 nucleotides) under Harpegnathos saltator (Jerdon's jumping ant). RNAcentral describes it as "uncharacterized LOC105191223". The record is from RNAcentral. Lineage: Eukaryota; Metazoa; Arthropoda; Insecta; Hymenoptera; Formicidae.